UUAGUUACAGCUGCAGGAAGAA
Molecule: microRNA, 22 nt
Filed under: Drosophila melanogaster (fruit fly)
Lineage: Eukaryota; Metazoa; Arthropoda; Insecta; Diptera; Drosophilidae
Description: dme-miR-4944-3p
Source: miRBase by way of RNAcentral